This 842-nucleotide long non-coding RNA is filed under the name Manacus vitellinus (golden-collared manakin). RNAcentral's name for it is "lncRNA (ENSMVIG00005002851.1)". The record is from RNAcentral. Lineage: Eukaryota; Metazoa; Chordata; Aves; Passeriformes; Pipridae.
CCUGGGUCCACCAGUCAGCACCCUGCUUUCUGCAUGAAUCUGACUCUGGGUGAUGGAGGUCUUGGGCUUUAGGGGGUGAUUUAAUCUGUCAGUGACUGUCCCGUUUUCUUCCCUGCAGGUAGGCAGGAGCCCCCCGUGGCCGAGUGAGGCAGCAUGGCAACCUGUGUGGAGGCUGCGUGCAGCGUGUGCUGGGAGCUCAAGGAGCAUGGCAGUAGUGAGUGGAGAGACACAGAGAUCUGUCUGGGAUCUCAGGAUUUGCUCGGAGUGUCGCCGGAGCCAGCGGUGAAGGUGGAGGCAGUGUCCAUGCUGAGGAGGACGAGGAGGACCCCAGGGAUGACAGUGGCCAGUUCAGCACAGCAAAGCAGGGAAGGGGUCAAGUGACCGGUGUCUGCAGGGAUGGAAAGCCCUGACAGUGAGAUCUGCAGCCAAGCUUGUUGCUCCAACGUGUGCUGAGGAAGUUGGAAAGAGUCUCAGGCUCAAGUGCUGAGGAGGGGAGAGUUCACACCGCAGCCUGAUCAAGGUGGGAGGCAAAGGAGGUGAGGCCAGACUUCUCCAGCAAAGGAUGGGACAUUUGCAGAAUGGGUGCUGUCUCUGUAAAAUUUCAUCUUCUUCUGGAAAGGCUCAAGAGGAGGUCGGCCUGACAGCCUGCUCUCUCUCCAGCCAGGAUAACCCUCCUCAACUGUGAAAGCCAAGGCAAGCUGAUCCCUGCCUGCCCUUCUGUGAGAUGCCUUCUGUGCCUCUUGAAAAUGCUUUUUCGGUUUUCCUUGUAAAAAAACAAAAAAAAAACAAAAAAAAAAAGGUUUGCAUAAUAAAGUCGAUUCUGAGGGAAGAUCUGUGACUCA